This 51-nucleotide transfer RNA is filed under the name Aristida stipitata. RNAcentral describes it as "partial tRNA-Leu". RNAcentral also lists the same sequence under 1 other name. The record is from RNAcentral. Lineage: Eukaryota; Viridiplantae; Streptophyta; Magnoliopsida; Poales; Poaceae.
AAAAUCCGUCGACUUUGUAAGUCGUGAGGGUUCAAGUCCCUCUAUCCCCAA